This 1392-nucleotide ribosomal RNA is filed under the name uncultured bacterium. RNAcentral's name for it is "16S ribosomal RNA". It matches the Rfam family "Bacterial small subunit ribosomal RNA". The record is from RNAcentral.
ACGCUGGCGGCACGCCUAAUACAUGCAAGUCGAACGAAGUAGCAAUACUUAGUGGCAGACGGGUGAGUAACAUGUGGGUAUCUUCCCUUUGGUGAGGAAUAACACGAGGAAACUUGUGCUAAUACCUCAUAAGUCUUUACGGAGAAAGCUUUAUGCGCCAUUGGAUGAGCCCGCACUUGAUUAGUUUGUUGGUAGGGUAAUGGCCUACCAAGACUGUGAUCAAUAGCUGAUUUGAGAGGAUGAUCAGCCACAUUGGGACUGAGACACGGCCCAAACUCCUACGGGAGGCAGCAGUAGGGAAUCUUGCACAAUGGAGGAAACUCUGAUGCAGCGAUGCCGCGUGAGUGAAGAAGGCCUUUGGGUUGUAAAGCUCUUUCGUCGGGGAAGAAAAUGACUGUACCCGAAUAAGAAGGUCCGGCUAACUUCGUGCCAGCAGCCGCGGUAAUACGAAGGGACCUAGCGUAGUUCGGAAUUACUGGGCUUAAAGAGUUCGUAGGUGGUUAAAAUAGUUGGUGGUGAAAUCCCAGAGCUUAACUCUGGAACUGCCAUCAAAACUUUUUAGCUAGAGUAUGAUAGAGGAAAGCAGAAUUUCUAGUGUAGAGGUGAAAUUCGUAGAUAUUAGAAAGAAUACCGAUUGCGAAGGCAGCUUUCUGGAUCAUUACUGACACUGAGGAACGAAAGCAUGGGUAGCGAAGAGGAUUAGAUACCCUCGUAGUCCAUGCCGUAAACGAUGUGUGUUAGACGUUGGAAAUUUAUUUUCAGUGUCGCAGCGAAAGCGAUAAACACACCGCCUGGGGAGUACGACCGCAAGGUUAAAACUCAAAUGAAUUGACGGGGACCCGCACAAGUAGUGGAGCAUGUGGUUUAAUUCGAAGAUACGCGCAGAACCUUACCAACACUUGACAUGUUCGUCGCGACUCUAAGAGAUUAGAGUUUUCGGUUCGGCCGGACGAAACACAGGUGCUGCAUGGCUGUCGUCAGCUCGUGUCGUGAGAUGUUGGGUUAAGUCCCGCAACGAGCGCAACCCUCACUUUUAGUUGCCAUCAUUAAGUUGGGCACUCUGAAAGAACUGCCAGUGAUAAGCUGGAGGAAGGUGGGGAUGACGUCAAGUCCUCAUGGCCCUUACGUGUUGGGCUACACACGUGCUACAAUGGCAUUUACAAUAGGAAGCAAAAUGGCGACAUUAAGCAAAUCCUAAAAAAAUGCCUCAGUUCGGAUUGUACUCUGCAACUCGAGUACAUGAAGCUGGAAUUACUAGUAAUCGCGGAUCAGCGCGCCGCGGUGAAUACGUUCCCGGGUCUUGUACACACCGCCCGUCACACCAUGGGAGUUGGUUCUACCUUAAGGCAAAGUUUAAAACCUUUGACCACGGUAUAGUCAGCGACUGGGGUG